RNAcentral lists this ribosomal RNA (478 nucleotides) under uncultured bacterium. RNAcentral describes it as "bacterial SSU rRNA". It matches the Rfam family "Bacterial small subunit ribosomal RNA", at positions 1053 to 1532 of the family's 1533-position model. The record is from RNAcentral.
CGUCAGCUCGUGUCGUGAGAUGUUGGGUUAAGUCCCGCAACGAGCGCAACCCCUAUUUCCAGUAGCCAGCAGUGAGAUGGGAACUCUGGAGAGACUGCCGGGGACAACCCGGAGGAAGGUGGGGACGACGUCAAAUCAUCAUGCCCCUUAUGGGCUGGGCUACACACGUGCUACAAUGGUGCCAACAGAGUGAGGCGACCCCGCGAGGGCAGGCAAAUCACAAAAAUGGCAUCUCAGUUCGGAUUGCAGUCUGCAACUCGACUGCAUGAAGCUGGAAUCGCUAGUAAUCGCGAAUCAGAAUGUCGCGGUGAAUACGUUCCCGGGUCUUGUACACACCGCCCGUCACACCAUGGGAGUUGGGAAUGCCCGAAGCCGGUGACCUAACCGAGAGGGAGGAGCCGUCGAAGGCAGGCUCGAUAACUGGGGUGAAGUCGUAACAAGGUAGCCGUAUCGGAAGGUGCGGCUGGAUCACCUCCUU